This 410-nucleotide ribosomal RNA is filed under the name uncultured Gammaproteobacteria bacterium. RNAcentral describes it as "bacterial SSU rRNA". It matches the Rfam family "Bacterial small subunit ribosomal RNA", at positions 89 to 495 of the family's 1533-position model. Lineage: Bacteria; Pseudomonadati; Pseudomonadota; Gammaproteobacteria. The record is from RNAcentral.
AGUAGAGCGGCGGACGGGUGAGUAACGCGUAGGAAUCUACCUAGUAGAAGGGGAUAGCCCGGGGAAACUCGGAUUAAUACCGUAUACCUCCUAAGGGAGAAAGAGGGCCUCUCUUGAUGCUCUCGCUAUUAGAUGAGCCUGCGUAAGAUUAGCUUGUUGGUGAGGUAAUGGCUUACCAAGGCUACGAUCUUUAGCUGGUCUGAGAGGACGAUCAGCCACAUUGGGACUGAGACACGGCCCAGACUCCUACGGGAGGCAGCAGUGGGGAAUAUUGGACAAUGGGCGCAAGCCUGAUCCAGCCAUACCGCGUGUGUGAAGAAGGCCUUCGGGUUGUAAAGCACUUUAAGCAGGGAGAAAAAGUUAUAAGUUAAUACCUUAUAACCGUGAUGUUACCUGCAGAAUAAGCACCG